This 628-nucleotide long non-coding RNA is filed under the name Homo sapiens (human). Its description in RNAcentral is "non-protein coding lnc-PSMG3-2:1". Lineage: Eukaryota; Metazoa; Chordata; Mammalia; Primates; Hominidae. The record is from RNAcentral.
CUAAGCUCCCAGCCCCACUCCUCUCUACUCUGCCUGUUGCAAGGCCCUCCCGGCCCAGGCUUGGGAGAGAGGUGUGCCCUACACUGCCGUGAGCCCUGAGUGGACCCAGACGGCCAGAGGGAGCAGCCCUCAGCCCAGACUCCACAGCGCAGCCCAGCCCGUCCCUGCAGCCACGAUCGGAGUGCUACUUGGCACACAGACCACAGUGAAAGUGGAGAAACUGAGGCCCAGCAGCAAAAAGUGUCUCGUCGAAGGUCACGAAGGCAGGAAAUAGCAGAUGCCAGGAGGGUCAUGGCACUCAGAGAUGAAAGGAGUCCCUCAUGCCCGGCACUCCCCCGCCCACCAGCCAUCGUGGCCAUCCUGGGCACGUGAGCACCACUGCGCCAGCCCAGCCUGGAGCCUGGUACUGCUGGCCUUGGCAGGCAGACAUUGCUGGUCAGGAAUGCAGAAUCGGCCUUUAAAUACCUCAGCAAUUUCAUGCCCUGGCAUCUCCUUCUUCCCCACACCGCCCGAGGCGCCGCUGAGGCUUAAUGAGCUGUGAAGGUCCAUUUUUCAAAGUUAAACAUUUCCUGGGCUCCCUGGCCCAGCCUUUAGACACAGCCUGGCAAUGUCCCAGGUGUGGGGUUCA